GGUUUUGUAGUGUAGCGGUUAUCACUCCGGAUUCUGAUCUCAUAAUCAGUGUCUUCCGGCAACCCCGGUUCGGUAAGCCAAUUCAGCCCCCAGUUAAUUCUGGUCAUCUGCUAAUAAUAAUUCAGAUUCCGGGCAAGACCU
Molecule: transfer RNA, 141 nt
Organism: Alternaria alternata
Lineage: Eukaryota; Fungi; Ascomycota; Dothideomycetes; Pleosporales; Pleosporaceae
Rfam family: tRNA
About the family: Transfer RNA (tRNA) molecules are approximately 80 nucleotides in length.
Source: Rfam